CGUUGCCCAACCUCUCGCGGCCACCCUGAGCUCCGCUCUCUCGCGCCGCUUUGUCUGAGGACCUUCGACGCCCGAGCCUCGGAGGCGGUCUGAGAGGGGGGUGGCGGCCUAGGAAUGGGCCGUGCCCGAGAGGCGGCUGGACGAGCUUCGUCUGGCGGGCUUCUUGAGGCGCGGCUCUGUGAGGUGGCCUUGGCUCGCGCCUGGCCGGCCACCGCCUCUCCUGGCGCCAUCUCCGCAGCAGCUGUGGGCCCAGCUGUUGACAAAGGCUGCACUGUAAAUCUCGGGUUCGGUCGAGGGCUGGAGUCCAAGCCACCACUCACUAGGCCUCCAGCCUCGCAGUCGUCAUAGCUACACGCAGUGUAAUCAUAAGAAAACAUCAGACAAACCUCAGUUGAAGGAUAUUAUGAGCAAUACCUCACCAGUACUCCUCAAAACUGGCAAAGUUAUCAAGAACAAGGAAAGUUUGAGAAACUUUCAUAACCAGGAGGAGCCUAUGGACGUGUUACAACUAACUGUAAUAUGGUAUCUUACAUGGGAUCCUGAAACAAAAAAAAUGGAUAUAAGGUGACUACCAGAAACUCCACCUAUUCCUCAGUUCAGAGUUGGAUGGGAUCUGACUGCUAACUGUUCCCAGGAGAGCAGGCUCCAAAACCUGGGCAAUGGGAGGCUUUGUGAACAGGUUUGCCACCCUGAACCCCAGCCCCACAGUUUGGGGUGAGAACUUCAGUUUGCAGGACAAGGCAGAAGCUCACAUCUUGCCCACUGAGACCAAUGGAGGGGAUGGGAACAGUUGUGGAUCUUGGCCAGGAUCAUCAAGGGAAUCUGAACUGAAAUGCAUUUGCAGUUUUGUCAACUCAAAACUUGGACAGAGGCUGUGGCCCCAAGAAACCACGUGCUAAAGUAAAGCGGAGCAGUUCUCUUGGCAUCCAAAUCUAUGCAAAUAGCCACAGGAUUUGAGUCUUUAGACACCGCUUGAGAACAGACUAUGGUAAACAGUGUUGUGAAAUGGUGGUGAGGAAGGUGAAAGCAGGAGCUUGGGAAUGGCUCUCUCAAUAGCAAAGGCUGAUGGCCUGAGGCACAAGAAUUUCAGUGUGUUCCUCAUAAACAGGCUUGUGCAACAGUGGCUGCUUGAUAAUAUGAGACAGGAAGUAGCCGUGGAGGAUUUCUCUCCAGGGAGUUAUCAUCUUUCCACAAUGGAAAGAUGGGAAAUGCGUAAAAACAAUUUUGAGGAAUCAGCAGAAGAGAACCAAUAUUUAUUGCACCAGGUGCUCUGACUCUUUACAUCCUUCAUCUUGUUCAGUCCUUACAAUACCCUGCAUGGAAUUAUUAUUCCCAUUUUACAGGUGAGAAAACUGAAGUUCAGAAAGGAUAAUUUGCUCCAGGCAUCACAAUUACUAAGCACUUUCAACAGGAUUUGAGCUCAGGCUAGUCUGAUUCCAAGCCCAGUGUUCUGUUCAUCACACCAUGCUGAGGCCUCUAGGGUAACACCCAACCCAGCAGCACUGUUGUUAACGACCAUCGCCACAGAAAAAGCAUUGACACAGGACCAGAGGACCAGAGGACCAGAAGACGUUUUUCUGGCUGAAGAUUCACCAAUUGAUCAUCAUAGAGAAGGUAUUGUCCUUAACAUCAGAUUCACAUAUGUUCUGCUAAAUUGCAGUUUGUUAUUUGUAUACUGUCUCUCCUUAAAUUAACUGUUUGGUCAACAGUAUAGAGUUCAACCCAGGGUUUAAGCUGAGUCAUUCUUUAAAAGCCUGUGGAAAUGCAGAAACUUCUGGAAAUUUCUCAUCUGCACUUCCAGUUGAGAGAAGCUGAUAACUAACCAGAAAUGGACCUCUAGGAGACUUUGUUCUCCUAAUAAAUAAUCCAUCUUUCCAGUAGAAGUGGCUUUUUAAAGCAACUUUGGUUAUAUUUCUCCCUUGAUUAAAACAUUUCACUGGCUCUUCAUGCACUGAUUCCUAAAUCCAAGAAUGCUUACUAGAAUCAUCUCAGGUGUUUGAUAAAAGGCAUACUCCUGGUUCCAUCCCAAAUAUAUUGGAUAAUAUCGGGGACAGGGCCCAGGAAUCUGUAUGGCUAACAGUCCCUCAGGGGAGUCUGAUGCAGCCUAUCUAGAAGACAAGAGCUGGAAAAUCCCUGGUUCCUAGAUAAAGUCCAGGGUCUCUGGCACGUAUGCCAGAUUUCCUGCUCUGAGCUACCAGCUUCUCUUGUUUCUUCUCUAGCCACUACCACCAGUGUAUCCCACACUCCAGCAUCACCUAAUGCCCCUGUUUCCAAUGUUCCAUGUGCUUUCACACCUCUGUGCCACUCUCUGCCUCCAAAACCUCUCUCUCUUAUCUGCCUCCACGGAAGACUCUUCUCAUCCUGUAGGAACCACCUCAUGUUCCUCACCAGAUGAACUCCUUCUGCUCAUUUCUUUUCAGAAUUUUAAGUUGCUUAUUUGGGAACAUAGACUGUAGAGCCAAACAGGGUCAGGCUUUACCUUGUUUGUCACUUCCUAACUCUGUGACUUUACUGUUGAAUCUGUGUCCUCACAAAUUGUGAAAGAUAAGUAUGCAAAUAUAUGUGAAUUGUAGAGACAGUGCCUGGUGUAUGGUCUCUAGCAGAGUUAGCUAUCAGAAUGGUAGCUUUUAUUAUUAUUACUGUUGUUAUUAUUAUUUGUUUUGCAUAUUAUUAUGACAUUUCUCUAACACAGGGUUCAGCAAACUACAGACUGUGAACCAAAUCUGACCAACUGACUGUUUUUAUAUAAAGAACGUUUUAUUGGAACAUAGCCACAAUCAUUGAUAAAUGUAUUGCCUAUGGCCAUUUUUGCAUUAUAAGGGCAGAGUUGAGUAGCUGAGACAGACUCUAUCUGACUCAUAAAGCCUAAAAUAUUUACUAUUUGGCUUUUUACAGAAAAAGUUUGCCUACCCUGUUCUAACAUAAUUACAAUUACUUGUUUGCAAGUUGGUUUUUCCCACUUGACUGAUAGCAACUCAGUGGUUUUCAUGGCCGACUCUUGCUUAUCCUUUACAACCCAGUCUUUCUCAUCUUUGGAUCCCUGGCACUUGAUACAUAAUUAGUGUUUGACAGAUGUUGAAUGGAACCAAAUAACUCCUUAACCCAGUUGAAAGGCACACAUCUCCAGAAAAGCCCCUGAGGGGAAAGAGGGCAAGACUACCUGCAGGACCAGGGCUGAGUUAAUAGAGAUAUACAACUUGGAGAAACCAGGGACAUCUGGGAAGUAAAAUCAGGCCUUCAUGGGAUGUGAGACUUUUGCUGCAGCCUUAGUUCUGGGUUCCUGGCUCAGGGAGGCCCUGCUCUCAAUGCACCAUGAACAGUCUCACUCCCUCCUACCACCUGACCCCAGCACCCUGAGCCUUGCGGUUGGAAUAGUUUCGCUGAUGGAGAGGAGAGGAAAAGCCACUUCUAGGAAAUUCUCUUCUGAAAGUUAGUAUAGUCCCAUUUUCCAAGAGAGCAUAAAUGGUUAGUCCAAAUGGUCUGAUGACCCUCACAGUCCUUACAGUGGGCAAUUUGAUGUACUCAUUUUUAAUAAAUGAACUGAUUGAUAUUUUUUCUAUGUAGAUUUACUUUUUUUUUUUUUCUUUUUUUUGGUUUUGACUCCCCAUGAAUUUGCCUUUACUGAGCAAAGCUCCUCUUGGAAGAGAACUAGGAUUUCAAAGCAGUGGGGCCAUUUCUUUGUGAGCUGAUUAUGAAACCACUCUGUGACCUUGGGCCAGUCAUGCCUAUCUCUGGGCCUAGCUUUCGGCUUCUGUACAAUGACUUUCAGACUUUUGACUCCCUGGAGUUCUGGCCAAAGGGAUGGCUUCCCCUAAUUCAUGGUGACCAAAAGCAGUGGCCUGACCACAGACAGCUUGAUAGAGCUUCUUUCUUCUUCCAUGCCUCUGUGCUACAGUAGUGUAAUCUCCUACCUUCCCCCAUUCCCCACAAAUACAACAAUUCACUCCUACUACCCUUUCUUGAGGCUCGAAGGAGACACUUUAGCUCUGAAGCAAGUCCUCAGAAGAUAAGAAAAUGCCACUGAUGUGGUUGGAAAAGUCUGAGCUGGAUGGAGUGGAAACACAGAGCUCUCCCCUGAGGCUGGAUGAGAAGUGCAUGGGUAGAAGCCAAGUCCAUCCUUUCCUUGAGCCUCUGGGAGCUGGCAGCUCAUUGCCUCUCUCAGAAUGUAGUGCCCCCUUAUCCUUCACCCUUCUUGUAGAUACCCCCAUGGGUAUAACUGCUGAGCCUGCAGGAUCCUGGUUA
Molecule: long non-coding RNA, 4242 nt
Organism: Ailuropoda melanoleuca (giant panda)
Lineage: Eukaryota; Metazoa; Chordata; Mammalia; Carnivora; Ursidae
Exons: 3
Source: RefSeq, a predicted model, not a curated record